This 465-nucleotide ribosomal RNA is filed under the name uncultured bacterium. Its description in RNAcentral is "partial 16S ribosomal RNA". It matches the Rfam family "Bacterial small subunit ribosomal RNA", at positions 338 to 795 of the family's 1533-position model. The record is from RNAcentral.
CCUACGGGAGGCAGCAGUAGGGAAUCUUCCACAAUGGACGCAAGUCUGAUGGAGCAACGCCGCGUGAGUGAAGAAGGGUUUCGGCUCGUAAAGCUCUGUUGGUAGAGAAGAAAGAUAGAGGUAGUAACUGGCUUUUAUUGGACGGUAAUUAUUUAGAAAGUCACGGCUAACUACGUGCCAGCAGCCGCGGUAAUACAGAGGUGGCAAGCUUUGUCCGGAUUUUUUGGGCGUAAAGCGAGUGCAGGCGGUUCAAUAAGUCUGAUGUGAAAGCCUUCGGCUCAACCGGAGAAUUGCAUCAGAAACUGGUGAACUUGAGUGCAGAAGAGGAGAGUGGAACUCCAUGUGUAGCGGUGGAAUGCUUAGAUAUAUGGAAGAACACCAGUGGCGAAGGCGGCUCUCUGGUCUGCAACUGACGCUGAGGCUCGAAAGCAUGGGUAGCGAACAGGAUUAGAUACCCGAGUAGUC